UGGGGAAUUUUGGACAAUGGGCGCAAGCCUGAUCCAGCCAUGCCGCGUGCGGGAAGAAGGCCUUCGGGUUGUAAACCGCUUUUGUCAGGGAAGAAAUCUUCUGAGUUAAUACCUCGGGAGGAUGACGGUACCUGAAGAAUAAGCACCGGCUAACUACGUGCCGGCAGCCGCGGUAAUACGUAGGGUGCAAGCGUUAAUCGGAAUUACUGGGCGUAAAGCGUGCGCAGGCGGUUUUGUAAGACAGAGGUGAAAUCCCCGGGCUCAACCUGGGAACUGCCUUUGUGACUGCAAGGCUUGAGUGCGGCAGAGGGGGGAUGGAAUUCCGCGUGUAGCAGUGAAAUGCGUAGAUAUGCGGAGGAACACCGAUGGCGAAGGCAAUCCCCUGGGCCUGCACUGACGCUCAUGCACGAAAGCGUGGGGAGCAAACAGGAUUAGAUACCCUGGUAGUCCACGCCCUAAACGAUGUCAACUGGUUGUUGGGAAGGUUCCUUCUCAGUAACGUAGCUAACGCGUGAANUUGACCGCCUGGGGAGUACGGCCGCAAGGUU
Molecule: ribosomal RNA, 548 nt
Filed under: uncultured bacterium
Lineage: Bacteria
Description: partial 16S ribosomal RNA
Rfam family: Bacterial small subunit ribosomal RNA
Source: RNAcentral